UGGGGAAUCUUGCGCAAUGGGCGAAAGCCUGACGCAGCCAUGCCGCGUGAAUGAUGAAGGUCUUAGGAUUGUAAAAUUCUUUCACCGGGGACGAUAAUGACGGUACCCGGAGAAGAAGCCCCGGCUAACUUCGUGCCAGCAGCCGCGGUAAUACGAAGGGGGCUAGCGUUGCUCGGAAUUACUGGGCGUAAAGGGCGCGUAGGCGGACAUUUAAGUCAGGGGUGAAAUCCCAGAGCUCAACUCUGGAACUGCCUUUGAUACUGGGUGUCUUGAGUGUGAGAGAGGUAUGUGGAACUCCGAGUGUAGAGGUGAAAUUCGUAGAUAUUCGGAAGAACACCAGUGGCGAAGGCGACAUACUGGCUCAUUACUGACGCUGAGGCGCGAAAGCGUGGGGAGCAAACAGGAUUAGAUACCCUGGUAGUCCACGCCGUAAACGAUGAUUGCUAGUUGUCGGGCUGCAUGCAGUUCGGUGACGCAGCUAACGC
This 485-nucleotide ribosomal RNA is filed under the name uncultured Pseudomonadota bacterium. Its description in RNAcentral is "bacterial SSU rRNA". It matches the Rfam family "Bacterial small subunit ribosomal RNA", at positions 355 to 858 of the family's 1533-position model. The record is from RNAcentral. Lineage: Bacteria; Pseudomonadati; Pseudomonadota.